GAUGAUAUAGAAAUAGUGAAUCCUAAUGUAAAUAGAGUUUAGGUUCGAAUUCGAUAUUCUUCCAAUAUCAAUUUCGGUUGAUAGUGGUUUUUUAUCAAAUCGAUCUAUUUUCUGUUCAAUUUUUUGGUAAUCAGUAUCAGGAAGAAGGCUAUGUUAAAUUUUAAGCAUAAAUCCCAACACAAAUAUUUAGCACAUGUUAAACGAUUGAUAAAAAGGAGAAUCUAUAUAACAAUACAUUACAAGUUAGACAAAAUAAUCGAGAAAAUUCAAGAUUAUAGACAAAAUCUUUUUUGAAACUUGGUCUUGACUUUACCUAAAUAUUUCUCCUCCUUCCUUGGAUGUAUUCUCCACGUGCUUUGAGUUUUAUCCCACAAUAUUAAGAAAAAUUAAAGGAAGAAGAAAGAAAAGAAGAUGAAAGAAGAAGAAUUAGAAUGGAAAAAUCCUAUUUUAGCUCCUAGUUUUAAUAUUUCAAAUAGGUAUUUUCAAAAAUGUCUAAUUUCAUGGGUGUCAAUUGAAAAAUGUCGACUUUUUAAAUUUAGCACUAAAUUGUUUAUUAAGCCCUUUAUGAAAACAGAAGCAAUUUAUUUAUUUUUUCAAUUUGUUGCGGAUUUCGAAAAGUAGUUUUCAUGAGAAGCUACAUUAAAAUGAAAUUCUCGACAUUUCAAAUGUCAUUCUCGAUAUUUGAAUUCCGUUUAUAUUUUAAAAGUACACAUGUCAAAUCACAAUAUUAAAUGUUCUUGGCAUUCUAAAUCUCUAGAAUGACAUUUCAUUCUGAACAUGACAAUUCUCAACACUUAAAAUGUAAUUUUCGACAUUUUUGUGUCAAUGAGAAAAAUAGCAUUAAUUGUGAUUGGACAUGUGCACUAUUAAAAUAAAUAUGGUAGAUUAUGUGUCCAAAAUUUAUUGGCCAAUAAAAUUUUUACAAAAAUGUCCAUUUCUUGUUUUUGUGUGGAAUCAUAAAUUGUUCACAGGGGUAUGUUGGUCCAAAAUAUUCCAAAAUGGACAUUUUUGCAAGAAUUUGUGAAAGUGGACAUUUUUGCAAAUGAACAUGUGAAAGUGGACAUUUCAAGCAAUUUCCUCUAUUUCAAAUUCAAACCUAGAAAAUUUGAAACCAAGUCCUUGAAGUUUUGAAAAGAAAUAAAAAGGUCUCCAUUUUUAUUUUUUAUUUUUUUAAAUGGCGCCUAAACGCCAACUCUCAUCCAAAUGGUUUCAUUUAUUAUUAUUUUUUUCUUUUUCUUUUGCACACAAGUCCUCUAUAAAUUUGCGCUCAAUGUUCUCAACUUUAAUCUUGUACAAUUUGGUCAUUGAAUUUUGACUUUCAUUUCAAUCAUACCUCCAAAAUUUCAACCCAAGGUUCAUCAACUUUCUCCCAUUGUGCAAUUUGGUCACCAACUCCAUGUUUUUGUACGCUUUUGAUCAAUUUUCUCUCCCUUUUGCCUUGUUCUCUUUCUGUUUGGCGUUUAUGACCAACAAAAAUCAAAAUUAGCCAAUUGUAAAUAGAAAAUCACUCAACUUAAUCAAUAAUUAGCUUGUUAAAAUAUUUAAUAAUUGUACAAAAAUGCACCUAUCAAAUACUUCCAAACUUAUGUUCUUGCUCAUCCCAAGCAAGAUUAUCUACAACAUAAAUCAAGCAAACGUGAUAAUAAUUAACACAUUAGAUAGCUUGCCAAAAAUAUCGAAGAGUGUAAAAUUGUAUAGUCAAUUCACAAAUAUGCUCCAAAUAAUGCAAGCAAAAAUAAUUUAAUCUUAUCCAAUAUUUGAUCGGUGUGUGCGCUCGUACAAAGUCACUUUCAAUCAUCAUCUAAAUUAAGAAAAAGUUGUCAAGACAGAAGAAAUUUCAAAUUAGCACAAACCCGACCUUUAGUGGUCAAAUAUUUCCUUUCUACUCGUGAAAUUCACACACUCAAAUAGGUAAUCCUUUUUUUUUGGCCCCCGGGUGUAAAUCUAAAGGCUUCUAUCAAAUCACCCAUUUCAUUUCCCGCUCUUGUUCGGCUGGGCCUGACUAGCAAUCUCAACAUCUAGACAUGUAAUGAUUCCACACUAAUGAGUGCUUCAACAUUCAAGUUUAUACUAAGUAAUUCAAAGGCACUACUUAUAAAAGCCCAAUUAUCAAAUAUAAUUGCACAAUAAUAAUUUUUUUUCCCUUCUUUCAAUUAAAUCUCAUAUUUUACCUUACUCCCCUUGAACUUUCUUUUUAUUACACUACAUUUCAUUCCUGUUAUCUUCUAGUAAACUCUCAGUGAUUGAUCUGGGCUAAUACUUCCUGGGUUACAGAUUCCCAGGGCUUACAGUAGAGCAACAACAACAGCUAAUCUACAGGAAAUUACUCAGCAGCUUCAGGGUUCUAACAUUGAUCUACAGACAGAAAAUUCUCAAACGAUUCAAAUUUCACAAACUAAAUUACCAAAUAUACACAAAGACAGACGUAUGUCUUCUAGAUAGAUUUAUACAUAUCCGUGUGCACUAUCUGUUGCAAUCAUGGGCUCUUCUGCCUCCCCUUUCUCAAAUCCCAUUUCAUAUUUUUCAUCAUAUUGAGUUUAUGCUAAAAAGGGAUCAUCAAUUGAAUUGUCCAAGAUAACAAAACACAAAAAAGAAUGGUGCAGGUAAUGUUGAUAACAAAAACAUGACAGGCUAAAAAAUCUAAAUUUUUAUGUAUACUCCACUCAAUUUUUCAGUAUGAAGAAUUAUGACAUGUUAUUGCCUAAUAUUUACGUUUCUUCCACUCAAUUAUACAAUCUGGUGGACAAGUUUAAACAGUUUAUUAGUUUAUUAUCCUCAACUAUUCAAUUAACUAAAAUUCCCAUUACAGCAAAUAGGAAGAAAAGAUAACAUUCAAAAAGCCAGCUAACGCAAAUGUUCAAUUUUAUUUUCCUUAAAUCCUGAAGAGUAUAACAUAGCGAAGAGUUAUAAAAUUGUGUUAAUUAAAUGAUAAAGAGGGAAUGUUACUUGACAUACACCAUGUGAAAAGCGAGCCAUCGAAGGCGGCGGCAGUAGUGUGCUCACAUCCACAAGCAAUAUGAAGCCACUAGAAUUUAUGUCGGCGGGACAACAGAUUGCGCUCUUCGUGGGGACAUUUCCCCGUUGUGAAUCCCCAAAUAGCUCAUUGAUCUCCAUAUUUCUUUACUACUUAUUAUCAAUUCCGCACAUCCUAGAAGAAAUCAUAAAACCAAUGUAGAAAAUGGAUAACUAACUAUGACUGAAAUCAAUUUGGGGAAUGGGAAAUGAGAAAUUAGUAAAGUCAAUUGUCACCUACGGAAGAAUUGAGCCACGAACAGUUAAAUCGAGAUGGGUCUUAGACGGAAAGUUGGAAACUGAGUUUUUAUUUUUUUAUUUUUUUUGGCAUUCAUUACCUUAGUUCUUCGAUCUCC
This 3368-nucleotide long non-coding RNA is filed under the name Olea europaea (common olive). Its description in RNAcentral is "long non-coding RNA (OEUR_LNC006363)". Lineage: Eukaryota; Viridiplantae; Streptophyta; Magnoliopsida; Lamiales; Oleaceae. The record is from RNAcentral.